RNAcentral lists this ribosomal RNA (252 nucleotides) under uncultured prokaryote. RNAcentral's name for it is "partial 16S rRNA". It matches the Rfam family "Archaeal small subunit ribosomal RNA", at positions 475 to 726 of the family's 1478-position model. The record is from RNAcentral.
ACCGGCGGCUCGAGUGGUAACCGUUAUUAUUGGGUCUAAAGGGUCUGUAGCCGGCCGGAUAAGUCUCUUGUGAAAUCCCGCAGCUUGACUGUCAGGCUUUCAGGAGAUACUGUCUGGCUCGAGGCCGGGAGAGGUGAGAGGUACUCCAGGGGUAGGGGUGAAAUCCGGUAAUCCUUGGAGGACCACCGGUGGCGAAGGCGGCUCACCAGAACGGACCUGACGGUGAGGUACGAAAGUUAGGGGCACGAACCG